UAACGCGUGAGGAACCUGCCUCAAAGAGGGGGACAACAGUUGGAAACGACUGCUAAUACCGCAUAAGCCCACGGCUCGGCAUCGAGCAGAGGGAAAAGGAGUGAUCCGCUUUGAGAUGGCCUCGCGUCCGAUUAGCUAGUUGGUGAGGUAAUGGCCCACCAAGGCGACGAUCGGUAGCCGGACUGAGAGGUUGAACGGCCACAUUGGGACUGAGACACGGCCCAGACUCCUACGGGAGGCAGCAGUGGGGAAUAUUGCACAAUGGGGGAAACCCUGAUGCAGCGACGCCGCGUGGAGGAAGAAGGUCUUCGGAUUGUAAACUCCUGUUGUUGAGGAAGAUAAUGACGGUACUCAACAAGGAAGUGACGGCUAACUACGUGCCAGCAGCCGCGGUAAAACGUAGGUCACAAGCGUUGUCCGGAAUUACUGGGUGUAAAGGGAGCGCAGGCGGGAGAACAAGUUGGAAGUGAAAUCCAUGGGCUCAACCCAUGAACUGCUUUCAAAACUGUUUUUCUUGAGUAGUGCAGAGGUAGGCGGAAUUCCCGGUGUAGCGGUGGAAUGCGUAGAUAUCGGGAGGAACACCAGUGGCGAAGGCGGCCUACUGGGCACCAACUGACGCUGAGGCUCGAAAGUGUGGGUAGCAAACAGGAUUAGAUACCCUGGUAGUCCACACCGUAAACGAUGAUUACUAGGUGU
This 696-nucleotide ribosomal RNA is filed under the name uncultured bacterium. RNAcentral describes it as "bacterial SSU rRNA". It matches the Rfam family "Bacterial small subunit ribosomal RNA", at positions 111 to 823 of the family's 1533-position model. The record is from RNAcentral.